This 154-nucleotide microRNA precursor is filed under the name Amborella trichopoda. Its description in RNAcentral is "MIR8565 microRNA precursor family". It matches the Rfam family "MIR8565 microRNA precursor family". The record is from Rfam by way of RNAcentral. Lineage: Eukaryota; Viridiplantae; Streptophyta; Magnoliopsida; Amborellales; Amborellaceae.
CCCCCACCCAUAUGUGUAGGACCCCAAAGGAUCACCAUUAAAGUUGGCACGGAUCUCUAGAAAAGUUGUCACAUGGGUGUGAGACUUGACUUUUUUAUAGAUCCGUGUCAAAUUUAAUGGUGAUCCUUUGGGGUCCAACACACAUGAGUGGGAG